Molecule: transfer RNA, 81 nt
Filed under: Tremellales sp. Tagirdzhanova-0007
Lineage: Eukaryota; Fungi; Basidiomycota; Tremellomycetes; Tremellales
Rfam family: tRNA
About the family: Transfer RNA (tRNA) molecules are approximately 80 nucleotides in length.
Source: Rfam by way of RNAcentral
GCCCUUGUGGCGCAGUGGCUAGCGCAUCCCACUUCUAUUUAUGUAAUGGGAAGAUCCAGAGUUCGACCCUCUGCAAGGGUU